UGCCUUGUGCUUCGGGGGGACUGAUCCAGUGAAGGCACGACCUCAGUAUACAAGUCUCGCCGCAACCCUUUCGCAGAACUCGGCAUCCGUUGCAGCUCAUCUCCACCGACGGAUUGGCCUCCAAGGAAAAGGUCAAAAAAAUUCAAUAGAUUUUGAUAUAUGAUCGUUAAAUAGGGGCGGAGAUUUCUUGAGAGUUAAGCAAGUGAAGCGAGUGAAAG
RNAcentral lists this unclassified non-coding RNA (218 nucleotides) under Hevea brasiliensis (rubber tree). Lineage: Eukaryota; Viridiplantae; Streptophyta; Magnoliopsida; Malpighiales; Euphorbiaceae. The record is from RNAcentral.